Molecule: unclassified non-coding RNA, 227 nt
Filed under: Hevea brasiliensis (rubber tree)
Lineage: Eukaryota; Viridiplantae; Streptophyta; Magnoliopsida; Malpighiales; Euphorbiaceae
Source: RNAcentral
AAUUCUUUCCUUUCACCUGUAGAUCGUCUCUUCUCACAUUUUUCUUUCUGAUUCUCCUGUUUUCCUUAUUGGUUUGUGAAGGUUGUGAUGAUUCUGAUGCAUGGUUGAGCUAAAUUGAGUGUUUUCUUUUCUGCAAUCUUAUUUCUUAUUUUGGGUGCAUAUUAUGAAAGUAUCAUGAAUUUGGGGUUAAGUUGAUUUGGUUUGGUCAUUUCGGAGUUGCACGUUAU